GCAGUCGAGCGACUGAUUAGAAGCUUGCUUCUAUGACGUUAGCGGCGGACGGGUGAGUAACACGUGGGCAACCUGCCUGUAAGACUGGGAUAACUUCGGGAAACCGAAGCUAAUACCGGAUAGGAUCUUCUCCUUCAUGGGAGAUGAUUGAAAGAUGGUUUCGGCUAUCACUUACAGAUGGGCCCGCGGUGCAUUAGCUAGUUGGUGAGGUAACGGCUCACCAAGGCAACGAUGCAUAGCCGACCUGAGAGGGUGAUCGGCCACACUGGGACUGAGACACGGCCCAGACUCCUACGGGAGGCAGCAGUAGGGAAUCUUCCGCAAUGGACGAAAGUCUGACGGAGCAACGCCGCGUGAGUGAUGAAGGCUUUCGGGUCGUAAAACUCUGUUGUUAGGGAAGAACAAGUACAAGAGUAACUGCUUGUACCUUGACGGUACCUAACCAGAAAGCCACGGCUAACUACGUGCCAGCAGCCGCGGUAAUACGUAGGUGGCAAGCGUUAUCCGGAAUUAUUGGGCGUAAAGCGCGCGCAGGCGGUUUCUUAAGUCUGAUGUGAAAGCCCACGGCUCAACCGUGGAGGGUCAUUGGAAACUGGGGAACUUGAGUGCAGAAGAGAAAAGCGGAAUUCCACGUGUAGCGGUGAAAUGCGUAGAGAUGUGGAGGAACACCAGUGGCGAAGGCGGCUUUUUGGUCUGUAACUGACGCUGAGGCGCGAAAGC
This 720-nucleotide ribosomal RNA is filed under the name Bacillus sp. KLBMP 2430. RNAcentral's name for it is "bacterial SSU rRNA". It matches the Rfam family "Bacterial small subunit ribosomal RNA", at positions 57 to 760 of the family's 1533-position model. Lineage: Bacteria; Bacillati; Bacillota; Bacilli; Caryophanales; Bacillaceae. The record is from RNAcentral.